AGAAUCAACGCUGGCGGCGUGCCUAACACAUGCAAGUCGCACGAGAAAGGGUAGCAAUACCUGAGUACAGUGGCGCACGGGUGAGUAACACGUGAAUAAUCUACCUCCGAGUGGGGAAUAACUGAGAGAAAUCUUAGCUAAUACCGCAUAAUACCCACGGGUCAAAGCAGCAAUGCGCUUGGAGAGGAGUUCGCGGCAGAUUAGUUAGUUGGCGGGGUAAUGGCCCACCAAGACGAUGAUCUGUAUCCGGCCUGAGAGGGCGCACGGACACACUGGAACUGAAACACGGUCCAGACUCCUACGGGAGGCAGCAGUGGGGAAUUUUGCGCAAUGGGGGAAACCCUGACGCAGCAACGCCGCGUGGAGGAUGAAGCCCCUUGGGUGUAAACUCCUUUCGAUCGGGAAGAUAAUGACGGUACCGAUAUAAGAAGCCCCGGCUAACUUCGCGCCAGCAGCCGC
Molecule: ribosomal RNA, 459 nt
Filed under: uncultured bacterium
Lineage: Bacteria
Description: SSU rRNA
Rfam family: Bacterial small subunit ribosomal RNA
Source: RNAcentral